UCCCAGACUCCUACGGGAGGCAGCAGUGGGGAAUAUUGCACAAUGGGGGGAACCCUGAUGCAGCGACGCCGCGUGAGCGAAGAAGUAUCUCGGUAUGUAAAGCUCUAUCAGCAGGGAAGAAAAUGACGGUACCUGACUAAGAAGCUCCGGCUAAAUACGUGCCAGCAGCCGCGGUAAUACGUAUGGAGCAAGCGUUAUCCGGAUUUACUGGGUGUAAAGGGAGCGCAGGCGGCGCGCCAAGUCUGGUGUGAAACCCCGGGGCUCAACCCCGGGACUGCAUUGGAAACUGGCGGGCUGGAGUGUCGGAGGGGCAGGCGGAAUUCCUGGUGUAGCGGUGAAAUGCAUAGAUAUCACGCAGAACUCCGAUUGCGAAGGCAGCGCACCGGCGCCCUACUGACGCUCAGGCACGAAAGCGUGGGUAUCGAACAGGAUUAGAUACCCGCGUAG
RNAcentral lists this ribosomal RNA (447 nucleotides) under uncultured bacterium. Its description in RNAcentral is "bacterial SSU rRNA". It matches the Rfam family "Bacterial small subunit ribosomal RNA", at positions 329 to 793 of the family's 1533-position model. The record is from RNAcentral.